UACGGAGGGAGCUAGCGUUGUUCGGAAUUACUGGGCGUAAAGCGCACGUAGGCGGCUUUGUAAGUUAGAGGUGAAAGCCUGGAGCUCAACUCCAGAAUUGCCUUUAAGACUGCAUCGCUUGAAUCCAGGAGAGGUGAGUGGAAUUCCGAGUGUAGAGGUGAAAUUCGUAGAUAUCGGGAGGAACACCAGUGGCGAAGGCGGCGAUCUGGGAAGAUACUGACGCUGAGGUGCGAAAGCGUGGGGAGCAAACAGG
RNAcentral lists this ribosomal RNA (253 nucleotides) under uncultured bacterium. RNAcentral's name for it is "partial 16S ribosomal RNA". It matches the Rfam family "Bacterial small subunit ribosomal RNA", at positions 524 to 776 of the family's 1533-position model. The record is from RNAcentral.